Molecule: ribosomal RNA, 290 nt
Filed under: uncultured bacterium
Lineage: Bacteria
Description: partial 16S ribosomal RNA
Rfam family: Bacterial small subunit ribosomal RNA
Source: RNAcentral
AACGAACGCUGGCGGCACGCUUAACACAUGCAAGUCGAACGGUAACAGGGACUUCGGUCCGCUGACGAGUGGCGAACGGGUGAGUAACACGUGGAGACCUAUCCUGGGGUGCGGGACAACGGUUGGAAACGACUGCUAAUACCGCAUACGUCCUACGGGAGAAAGAUUUAUUGCCCUUGGCGGGGUCCGCGUCGGAUUAGCUUGUUGGUGAGGUAACGGCUCACCAAGGCGACGAUCCGUAGCUGUUCUUAGAGGAAGAUCAGCCACACUGGGACUGAGACACGGCCCAG